RNAcentral lists this unclassified non-coding RNA (482 nucleotides) under Hevea brasiliensis (rubber tree). Lineage: Eukaryota; Viridiplantae; Streptophyta; Magnoliopsida; Malpighiales; Euphorbiaceae. The record is from RNAcentral.
UUUUUUGAGAGUUCUGGAAGUUAUCUAUUGCAAUCUCAUUUAAAAAUUCAGGCAUCUAAUUUCUGAUACUAGUUCUUGUGCUGAGGAAAGAAAGCAAAAUAACGAUAGAAGAGGCAUGAACAAGGUUUAAACAUCAAACGAUACAUAAACAAACUGACAUUGCAUAUGUGGAAUUUCAAAUGUCAGCAACUUGAUUCAAGCAUGUUAAUUACUAGGAGACUAACAUUGAGACCUCAAGCUAAAUUCCCAAAUGUAAUGUCCAAAUUUUUAAUGCAACAAUCAACCUAAUUUCAGAUCAACAGCCAGCUGCUAUUCAAAAGCUGUCUAUUUUACCAAGUCUAAUUCAUAUUAGUAUCUCAUGCGCCAGAACUCAAUUCAAAGCACUGUAGUCAUUCAAUGCUAUAGUGCAUACUACCCAUAUAUUAAAAAAAUCUCUUAUGCUGUAAUUGAGCAAACAAGGGGGAAAAAAUCAUCUACUACUC